RNAcentral lists this ribosomal RNA (3255 nucleotides) under Cavelerius excavatus. Its description in RNAcentral is "eukaryotic LSU rRNA". The stretch from base 376 to 3255 matches the Rfam family "Eukaryotic large subunit ribosomal RNA", at positions 1 to 3058 of the family's 3401-position model. Lineage: Eukaryota; Metazoa; Arthropoda; Insecta; Hemiptera; Blissidae. The record is from RNAcentral.
ACACCGAAAGGGAGAUUCACGUCUCGACGUGGGCGCCGGCCUCCGGCCGGGGGAUGGCCUCACGCCCCGCCCGGCUCGUCCGCGGCGGUGGGUGGGCUGCCCCCUCCGGAGCGCCCGGUCCCGCGGGGGACCGCACUUCUCCCCCAGUAGGACGUCGCGACCCGCUCUGCGGCGGUCUAACGGCCGGCAGGAAGCCCGGCCGGGGCCCUCCCCUCGGGGUUGGCUCCCGGCCGGUCCUGCGGACCCGCGGCCGCCGGUCCGGGGCGGAAGAACGACCUCGGCGAUGGGCCGCUCCAUGAGAGAGCGCUCCGGUCCCCCCGCAAGCCUGCGCUUGGCCGUCGGGCCGUACCCUCGCGGGUACGCCCCUCGCCGGCGCGGACUGUUGGCGGGCGGGCACUCGAGCCGCAGUCCAUCACGCCAGUCGGCGGCGCUUCAGAUUCGGCUACUUAUCCGACCCGUCUUGAAACACGGACCAAGGAGUCUAGCGUGUGCGCGAGUCAUUGGGUGAAAAACCUAAAGGCGCAAUGAAAGUGUCAGAGCCGCGCCCAGCGCGCUCGGCGGGAGGAUGGGCCGCCCGGCCCCCGGGCCGGAGCCCCGCACUCCCGGGGCGUCACAUUCUCGUUCCGAGUCGAGACGCACCAGGAGCGCACACGCUGUUACCCGAAAGAUGGUGAACUAUGCUUGGCCAGGACGAAGCCAGGGGAAACCCUGGUGGAGGUCCGAAGCGAUUCUGACGUGCAAAUCGAUCGUCUGAGCUGAGUAUAGGGGCGAAAGACCAAUCGAACCAUCUAGUAGCUGGUUCCCUCUGAAGUUUCCCUCAGGAUAGCUGGCUCUCGGGAAGAGACGAGUCUCAUCCGGUAGAGCGAAUGAUUAGAGGUGAUGGGGUCGAAACGACUUCAACCUAUUCUCAAACUCCCAAUAGAUGAGAGCCCCGGCUUGCUUGAAAGUGAAGCCGCGGGACCUCGGAUCGGAGAGGCCAAGUGGGCCAAUUUUGGUAAGCAGAACUGGCGCUGUGGGAUGAACCAAACGCGGAGUUAAGGCGCCCGAUUCGACGCUCAUCCGAAACCACGAAAGGCGUUGGUUGCUCAAGACAGCAGGACGGUCGCCCUGGAAGUCGGAAUCCGCUAAGGAGUGUGUAACAACUCACCUGCCGAAGCAACUAGCCCUGAAAAUGGAUGGCGCUGUAGCGUCGUGCCUAUACUCCGCCGUCAACGGCAAAGCGGGCGGCCCCCCUGAGGGGCGUCGCCGUUACGCCAUGACGAGUAAGAGGGUCGCGGCGGUGAGCGCGGAAGGGUCUGGGCGCGAGCCCGCCUGGAGCCGCCGCCGGUGCAGAUCUUGGUGGUAGUAGCAAAUACUCCAGCGAGGCCCUGGAGGACUGAUGUGGAGAAGGGUUUCUUGUGAACAGCUGUUGCACAAGAGUCAGUCGAUCCUAAGCCCUAGGGGAGACCCGAAGCGAUGGCCUGCCGUUAAACUCUCUUCUCGAAAGUGGGCCGCCGGCCGGCGUCGUCCGGCCGGUCCUGGUCCACGCGGUUGAGCCGGCACCGUCUGGGCGAAAGGGAAUCUGGUUCCUAUUCCAGAACCCGGCAGCGGAACCGCUCCAAUUCGGGCCCUCAUCCGAGGACUCGUCGGGGUGACCCGAAAUGACCCGGAGAAGCCGUAGGGAGGUCCGGGGAGAGUUGUCUCUUCUCUAUAAGCGUUCGAGUUCCCUGGAAGCCUCUAGGAGGGAGAUAGGGUUUGGAACGCGAAGAGCACCGCACUUACGGCGGUGUCCGGAUCUUCCCCUCGGACCUUGAAAAUCCGGGCGAGGGCCACGAGGAACACCGCGCCGGCUCGUACCCAUAUCCGCAGCAGGUCUCCAAGGUGAAUAGCCUCUAGUCGAUAGGACAAUGUGGGUAAGGGAAGUCGGCAAACCCGAUCUGUAACUUCGGGAUAAGGAUUGGCUCUGAGGAUCGUGGCGCGCCGGGCUUGGUCGGGAAGUGGAGCGGCGCCAACGUGCCGGGCCUGGGCGAGGAUAAGGGCCGCUAUCGCGGCCUGGACCCUAGCUCGGUCCCGUGCCUUGGCCACCCACGGAUCUUCCUUGCUGCGAGCCUCCGGGUGCAAGUCCCCCCGGCACCAGCCGGCGGACGGCCCGGAUCGCUCUUCGGCCGCCAUAGAACGAUCAACUUAGAACUGGCACGGACCAAGGGAAUCCGACUGUCUAAUUAAAACAAAGCAUUGCGAUGGCCCCAGGGGGUGAUGACGCAAUGUGAUUUCUGCCCAGUGCUCUGAAUGUCAACGUGAAGAAAUUCAAGCAAGCGCGGGUCAACGGCGGGAGUAACUAUGACUCUCUUAAGGUAGCCAAAUGCCUAGUCAUUCAAUUGGUGACGAGCAUGAAUGGAUUAACGAGAUUCCCUCUGUCCCUACCUACUAUCUAGCGAAACCACUGCCAAGGGAACGGGCUUGGAAGAAUUAGCGGGGAAAGAAGACCCUGUUGAGCUUGACUCUAGUCUGGUAUUGUAAGGAGACAUGAGGGGUGUAGCAUAAGUGGGAGGCGUGAAACACCGUCCGACAGUGAAAUACCACUACUCUCAUCGUUUCCUUACUUACUUGGUGAGGCGGAAGGCGUCCGUCGGUGUGUCUGCACUCCGGCGCGACGGUAUUCUCGCGCCAAGCGCCAAGGGUUGUCGGCGGCCGGUCGGACGCGGUGAGGCCCGCGGUCGCGGGCAGCCCCCCGGGCUGCCCCGCCGCGUGCGUCGUCGCUGCGGCUUCGGCCGGACUGUCCGGCAACACACUCCCUAGCGUGAUCCGAACCAAGGACAUUAUCAGGCCGGCAGUUCGACUGGGGCGGUACAUCUGUCAAAUGAUAACGCAGGUGUCCUAUGGUCAGCUCAGCGAGGACAGAAACCUCGCGUAGAGCAAAAGGGCAAAUGCUGGCUUGAUCCCGAUGCUCAGUGCGCAUAGGGACUGCGAAAGCACGGCCUAUCGAUCCUCUUAGCUUGAAGAGUUUUCAGCAAGAGGUGUCAGAAAAGUUACCACAGGGAUAACUGGCUUGUGGCGGCCAAGCGUUCAUAGCGACGUCGUCGUUUGAUCCUUCGAUGUCGGCUCUUCUUAUCAUUGCGAAGCAGAAUUCGCCAAGCGUCGGAUUGUUCACCCGCUAAUAGGGAACGUGAGCUGGGUUUAGACCGUCGUGAGACAGGUUAGUUUUACCCUACUAAUGAAAAAGGGUCGUUGCUAUAGUAAUCCUGCUUAGUACGAGAGGAACCGCAGGUUCGGACA